Molecule: ribosomal RNA, 253 nt
Filed under: uncultured bacterium
Lineage: Bacteria
Description: partial 16S ribosomal RNA
Rfam family: Bacterial small subunit ribosomal RNA
Source: RNAcentral
UACGUAGGGCGCAAGCGUUAUCCGGAAUUAUUGGGCGUAAAGAGCUCGUAGGUGGUUUGUCGCGUUGUCCGUGAAAACUCACAACUCAAUUGUGGGCGUGCGGGCGAUACGGGCAGACUGGAGUACUGCAGGGGAGACUGGAAUUCCUGGUGUAGCGGUGGAAUGCGCAGAUAUCAGGAGGAACACCGGUGGCGAAGGCGGGUCUCUGGGCCGUAACUGACGCUGAGGAGCGAAAGCGUGGGGAGCGAACAGG